Molecule: long non-coding RNA, 1562 nt
Organism: Zalophus californianus (California sea lion)
Lineage: Eukaryota; Metazoa; Chordata; Mammalia; Carnivora; Otariidae
Source: Ensembl
CUGCAGACCAUCUUCCCCGGACACAUAGGCACAUCCCGUUGAAAGAUCGCAUAUCAAUGCCACUGACCCUUGAAUUACCUUUCUACAGCUUCAGAUGGGACAUCCAUUUAGCAUUUAGGAGAGUCUAAGUCAAAGUUCACUAAUAAGGCUACUGUUUAAAGCAAACAAACAACAAAAAAGCCACAGUAAGAAAGAAGACAAAUCUCUUUGAGAAAGGAAGGAGGACGUUGAUCUUUUGCAGUUAAUGAGUCCCCACGCAGCUGGACAGCUCCUCUCGGACACUGAGAACUCUAACCCCAAAAUGACCCCAAUUUGACACCGCAAGAUGAAAUUUUACCGCCUGUUAAAACCAUUUCCAGCCUGGGCAAAAGGAACUGACUGUUGACGGAGGUGUGUGCCGCCUCCUGCGACCCCCAUCUCGUGCCUGUCUCUUGGGCCUGCCCCACCUACUUUUCCUUCACCCCAAAUGUGGAAGAACAGAUGAGCCUCGCAGCCUGGAUGGGGGUGCAGAGGCUUGAGACGGGAGCAUCAGGAACGUAAUAUCAGGCUAGAAAUCAGAAAGUGUGUGUACCCCACCGCUUUGGAAUCGCUUCUAUCGGACUGGCAAAAUUGGAGGAGGUUGGGGGAGAUCCGGAAGUUCUUAAAUGUUUUUCAGCUCUGUUAAUAAAACAUCAGCAAGUUGGUGAUUAAAAGUAAUAAUUUUUUAAUUCAUCAGAUUGGCCAAGAACUGACACCCUGAAUCACCUCCAACUUGAUCUUGUGUGUAAUCUGCACUGCGAUGCUAUUUUACAUUUGCAGUUUCAUAAAUGACAUGCAACUAGCUAGCGGCGCUGAACUGGGAACUCGGAUCCAGAUUUCAAGAUCUCUAGUAGAAAACGCUCCGCAGGCGAGACCAGACUGUUAUCUUUCUCUCAUCCUUCCCACCCCGGCUAAACUGAAUUCACGUAACUGCCGCUUGAAAUAAAAUUCUGCAAGACAACUUUUUUACUUUUGCGUCUUCUUUCCUUUUCUACUCACCUUUUCUUAAAUGUCGACGAGAAACUCAGCAACAAAUAAGGAGGAUGCUUUUAAUCUUGGAGUUCUUCUAGGGAAAAAAUAGGAAGGGGACGGACCCUCCCCACAACCUGCCCGUUUCAUACCCGUUGGAUCAUACAGGCUUGAAGCCCGGCGUGAAAGUGCUGGAAGUCUGGUCUAGACUCUCCUCUCCGAAGCUCCGAGUGCCCGGCCGUCCCUGCUCUGGUCAAAUGGGCAAAGACCUCGCAGUCCGCAGCCCCGCUCCCUGGCGUCGCCCUACCCUCGCUUCUGCCAGCCCCUCCGCACUAUCUUUAUAUGUGAGGGCCGAUUUCCCGCAGACAUCAUUGUUAUGAUGGCUCAUUUAAUCAAACUGUUUAAUUGCUCUGGUAAUCACUAUCAUCAUCACAGGUGCUCAAUCAUUCAUUAUUUUUGGAGGGCUUUAUUGACCUCCGGAGCUCAUUCCCCAGCCCUAUUAAAACGGGGCCAAAUUUCUCCGACUUAGCUUGGAGUCUCAGCAGGCUGCGAUCUAAGCUCAGUUGAGUGUUGCC